AGUGAACGCUGGCGGUAGGCCUAACACAUGCAAGUCGAACGGCAGCACAGAGGAGCUUGCUCCUUGGGUGGCGAGUGGCGGACGGGUGAGGAAUACAUCGGAAUCUACUCUGUCGUGGGGGAUAACGUAGGGAAACUUACGCUAAUACCGCAUACGACCUACGGGUGAAAGCAGGGGAUCUUCGGACCUUGCGCGAUUGAAUGAGCCGAUGUCGGAUUAGCUAGUUGGCGGGGUAAAGGCCCACCAAGGCGACGAUCCGUAGCUGGUCUGAGAGGAUGAUCAGCCACACUGGAACUGAGACACGGUCCAGACUCCUACGGGAGGCAGCAGUGGGGAAUAUUGGACAAUGGGCGCAAGCCUGAUCCAGCCAUACCGCGUGGGUGAAGAAGGCCUUCGGGUUGUAAAGCCCUUUUGUUGGGAAAGAAAUCCAGCCGGCUAAUACCUGGUUGGGAUGGCGGUACCCAAAGAAUAAGCACCGGCUAACUUCGUGCCAGCAGCCGCGGUAAUACGAAGGGUGCAAGCGUUACUCGGAAUUACUGGGCGUAAAGCGUGCGUAGGUGGUUAUUUAAGUCCGUUGUGAAAGCCCUGGGCUCAACCUGGGAACUGCAGUGGAUACUGGAUGACUAGAAUGUGGUAGAGGGUAGCGGAAUUCCUGGUGUAGCAGUGAAAUGCGUAGAGAUCAGGAGGAACAUCCAUGGCGAAGGCAGCUACCUGGACCAACAUUGACACUGAGGCACGAAAGCGUGGGGAGCAAACAGG
RNAcentral lists this ribosomal RNA (759 nucleotides) under uncultured Stenotrophomonas sp. RNAcentral describes it as "bacterial SSU rRNA". It matches the Rfam family "Bacterial small subunit ribosomal RNA", at positions 28 to 776 of the family's 1533-position model. The record is from RNAcentral. Lineage: Bacteria; Pseudomonadati; Pseudomonadota; Gammaproteobacteria; Lysobacterales; Lysobacteraceae.